CAACCCUGUAUGAGGUUUUAAAGUUAAACUGUAUACUUAGCAGACCUAAAUGUAACAAAGUUGUGACCUUUUCUCAUUCAUUAAUCAUUGCCUAAGUUUAGGCGGGAAAUCCAGUCUUGCAGCUACAAAUCUUAUUGAAAAGUAUUGAGUAGAAUUUGUUAUCUUCUAGCUAUGUAAGACCACAGCCACGGAGUCCCGAUUCAAGAUGUAAUAGAAUUGGCAAAGUUGAUGAAGCUGGAUAUCGGACUAUUAAUGAGGAUGAAGAAGGGAGAAACUUGUUGCUAUUGGGCAGUGUCAAUGAAAUCUAAAAACCAUAAUUCAAUUGUAAGAUAUUUAUUGAAUAUCUAAAAGGUCUCAUCAAGUUGUGAUCAACUUAAAAAAGAGAACUUUUUAUAAGGAAGCAAAGCAUGCAUACAGAAAACAUUGACAUUGUAUAUAAACAACAUAUGCCUUUUUUUCUCUUACCAUGAACAGAUGCAUGCAUGCAUGUAAGCAACCACAUGCAUAUGGUAUUGCCAGGCCUAUAUUUCAACUUUCUUAUUUGAAUUGAGUUUCUAUCUUGUUUUCUUGGACACUCUUUAUUGACCAACAUUCUUAAUCAUACCAUGUUAAUGAAAUAGAGUUUAUGGCCUUGUGAUAUGAGUCAUUUGGGUGUGUCAUGUAUCUGAUGCAGUUACAAUUACGUAAGAUGAAUGUAGAGCUACAUGUAAUUAUUUCAUCAUGUGAUGUAAGUUGAAUAUUUUCAAGCACUAGCUCAUUAAGAAAUUUGGGUCAAUCAUUCACAUAAUCUAUAGUUAUUAGAUACUAUGCAAGUUUAUCCAUCAAUUGUACUAAACUCAUAAUGGAAGGUGGUAAGAGAAUCUAGCAUAAUCAUAAUACCCUCGAAAGGAAAAAAUAUGCGUUGAUUGUAAAUAACAACCCGUCUGGCCAUAUAUGAAUUUAUUAUGUUUUUGCUGGAUAUUCUUGCAUGUUUUAUGAUAGGUUACUGAUGGUUAUUUUUUUGACUUCCAUCAGACCAUCGGUUACAGGGCAAAACAUGCCAAGUUAGUGGAUGCCUGUAAAUGUGACAAUGUCUAACAUUCUCGCUGGCAAAAUUCUUGGUGAUGUAGGAUCAUCUAGAUGGUAGGGAUCUGUAGGAUGUAGGGAAGCAAUCUUAAACCUACAAGUUGCUGGAAAUUCCAGCUUAGUAGCAAGUUCAGGGGUUUAAAUACAACAAAGCAAUCAGUUAUAUUUUUGGCUAGAAAAAGGAGUCCAUUGGUAGAUUAUGAGGCUAGACUCAGGAAGAAAUAAGAAAGAUAGUAAUGGCAGAUUUUAUUCUACAGCAUUGCAGAUCUGAGACACUAGUGGCAUUCGCGGCAGCAAGGUUAGGGUUUGCAGGGAUCAACCAUGGGUUGUGAUGGAAGGCUUAGGUUCGCUGUAAUAUGAGAAUGAGGUUUGCUGUGAUAACAGCCUUGAUCUGACCUAAAAAUAGACCCUGACAGCUGAUUGUUUACCUUCCACUUAUGGCAAGCAGUGGUUCAAUGGCAAGGGAAUAGCUUUAUUUGCUGCUAGAUCUACAGGCUCUGAGCGUCUAGUAUGGUUCUGUGGCAGAUUAGUUCACAGCAAUAACAACAGAACAACCAGGCGACACAAAAUAAAGAAGAGAAGUAAAACUGGAGACAGUAAAAAGUAGCAAAGGGAGAGGAAAGAUAAAACUGGACUCGCUCCAGGAUCUAGGAAUGACACCUAGGAUUUGAAGACCUCAUACUUUCUUUGCAGAGUCAUAUCACAAGAGUAGAGGAAAUCAAAGUCUCCAUUCUUUUAUUCAUAAUCUGCAUAAAUUCUGGUUAUAGCAUACCCUAAGGGUCCCUUUUAUAAUAAAAUAGAAGCCUUAGUUCGAUUAUAGUUUAAAAUCCCCAAAAACUACCCCUAAUAAAUCCCAGUCACUGUUCAAUAUUACUAAAGCAGUGAACAAUGGUGCUACAGAAAAUAGGUCUCAUCAAGCUAACAAUUAAAUAUUGAGAUCUUUUAAUCUCAUCCUUUCAUGUUAAAAGACCUAGCAACAACUAAAAAUAACCAGAAAUAAACAGAAGAAAACAGAAAAUUGAUGACUAUAAUUGUGUCUAAGAAAAAUCUCAUGUUUGCAGCCCUUCAAUGCACCAUGACAUGUUCUCGAUCUCCAUCACUGAGUAAACAUUAAUUAUGUUUCUUAUUCUCUCCAUUUUCUUAAUUCUCAACCCAUGAAGCUAGGCAUUUGAACUUUUUUUGCCCUAGAUUCUUGUGAUACUUUCUUGGAUUUUUUAUUCCUCUUGAUUUGUUUAUCAUAAAUCUUGUUUUUUAGUGUUCUUGUUGCUUUGUCUUUUAAAAUCAUCGCAAUAUAACAUUUGCAUUUGUUUGGAAAGUGUAAUCGUUCUUUCUGCUGAUUAUAUGUUACAACGUAUGCUUGUCUGUACAUUUUCAAUAUUUGUGCUUUUCUUUUAUAGUAGGUUCUCAAUCAAUUGCAUAUAAAUAGUCAAAGAUACAGGCAAUCCUAAUGUGCUUGCUGCACUAUCAUUGUAAGUUCUGUAAUUGCCUUUACAGGCUUCAUAUCCUAAAGAGUAGUUCAUUCACUUCAACACGUGUUAUGUUUCUUGUUUCAUGGCUUAUAACUAUUGUGAAAGACUUGAACGCUUACAAGCAUGGUUUGCUGUACCGGUCAGCACCCAUAGUGGUACUAAAGCAAUAUGUAGUGUGGGCGGUGCACUGAGUGUCGGUACGCUGAACCAGCCAACAUACCAGUUGUACCGACACAAUAGCGAGAUGGUAUUGGUAUAGGGUCCGGUGCUGGAUGGUGAACCUUGCUAGUAGGGGAAGAUUUAAUCACCGAGCAAAAGAUUUUCAAGUUUCAACCUUUGGAAUGAUGUUUAAUGCCUCAAGCAGUACCAUUUUUUGAAUUGUUUGCAAGGCACUUCAUCCACUCCUGACCAAUUUUAAGAAGAUUGUAUUAAAUUUUCCCUUGUCAAUUCCAUUAUCGUGCAAUUUUGAAGGCAAUAGAUAUUGGAUUUUGGAAUAUGUGAUAAGAAAAUGGAUCACAACCACUUCUAAACAAUGUUUGGGUGAUACUAACCUCUAGCAACCUUAAUAGGUCAGCCUUGACCUAUUGCGAAUUGACUUUUUAAUUCUGUAAUCAUGGUAACUUCAUGAUGCAGGCAGUGACCCCUAUAUUCAAGAACCCAAGGUCUACAAGUCCAAGAAGAGGCCCAAAUAACAGACUUAAAAUGCAUGAGGGAUCUGGCAGUGUUGAGAUGACAUUGAAUCCAAUUAGCACAAUUCAGUCUCAUUAUGCAAAUUCUUGUUAUGGGAGAGGGUGAUCUAAAAUGGAGCACUUCAUGAAUUUCAAGACAUUCUAGGAGACCAAAUGGUAACUACUAACUAAUGGUCAGCAACGAUAACCUACUUCUGACCACAAGACAUUAAACACCAGUGUUCCUAGCUAAGUAUCAGAGUAAUCACUGAAAAAUCAUAGAGCAAACUCAGAUGUUGAAGGUUCAUCAAUUCUUGGAUGCAGACUUGAGCCAUUAGCUGUUCAUUCUGGACUUUCAGGAAAGAAAUUUUUCCUUUUCACUUUAAAAACCGAUCAUGUAUAUGAUUAGAGCAAGAUAUCCAGUUCUAUAUUUCACCCAUUAAUGAUCAAAGAGGUAGGGAUUCGAAUAUUGAGAGAACAGAGAUCUCUUAUAAAUAUGCACUAAAGUUUUCAUAAUCUCUGUCAAUUCUGCAGCUGAUAAUGAGGGAGGAGAAAGAGACCUUGAAUUGGAGGAAUACCUGAAAGGUUUAAAUUCUUGAAUUAGUUAACACCUAUGUAGAGUUGUCUUCCUAUUCAUGUAAGCACUUGAGAGGUUGAUGCUUGGAAACAUUGUGCUCGAGAGUAGGUAGGAAGUAGUGAUACUUCAUUCUGCAAGGGCAACUUUGCUUAUGAUUUGGAACUAGUGGACUUCUUAAAUUGAUAAUAAACUCUGAAUCGCUCAAGCCUUGCAACAAGAACCGGCUAUGCCCCACCAGUUUAUGGAUUUCAAAUGCUGGGUAAUUGAUGGGUGGAUUUACACUAGGAAAUAUAUUGGCGACCAAAGGAAUCAGGCACUCAGCACCACUAACUCUUCAAAUAGAGCUUUUUUGCUUCUAAAUAAAAAUUCAAAGGAGAGGAGUGAUUUGAAAUGAUAAUAAUGCUAAAUCGAUGAUUCCCAAUCCUCUUGUUGCUUGGAGAGUGCAACAUGUUGGUUGGUGUUGGUGCUACAACAACGUAUUCUUUGUUUUAAAUGUUACGAUAUAAUUCAAACUCAGUAAAUUUUGGAAUCUUGAGUUACAUAUUUAAUUUGUUUUAGAUUUUGCAUGUUAUAUUUACCAGCAUAUGGCUGAAGGAAGCAGCUGGAAUUUUUAUUUGGAAAUGGAUAUAUGUCCAAAUAAAUCUUCUUUCCAGUUCUUCGGUUUGUCCUUAGUACUCCUUGAAUGAGUUUUUUCUCUUAAAUGAACACUGCAAAGCUUAAUGUCUUUAGAAGUAUUCUAGUAGCAAAUUUCUGAUGCCUUACUUCUACACUGUAAGAAAUGGUAUAUAUAGGAUCUAUGCUUGAGUUUGGUCACUAAUUGAUUGUUUGUGUCAUGUAUUCUCAAUACCAUAUUUCAGCACAGCCAUAUCUGUUUUUUGCACAUAUAUCUGUAAAUCAGGUUCACUUACAAUACUGUAGAAAGAAUUCAGUUUAGUCCAUGAAGAGUAACUGUUGAUGGAAUACCUCUCUCGGUGGACCUCACAUACUCAAAGACCAAAUCCUUGUGAGCUUGGGCCAAGGUAUAUAUCCAUGAGUAUACUUUCUCCUCUGCUUCAGAGCGGGUUCCACCUUCACGGCUCUCUGAAGAUUUAGCAGCAGAGCAAAACUAUCUCACACAUGACAGAAGAAGAAAAAGGUGUAUAAAGGUGUAAAGAAGCUGCAUUACUUGCAGUUGACAGAUGUUGAGAAGCAGAUGAAGUGUAUGUUGCAGUAUUGGUGAUUGUGGUUUGAAGAAUUGGUGUUAAGAGGUGAAAUGGAAGGGUCUCUCUGUGAUGUGGUCUUCUUCUUCUCUUCUAACUACCAAACUCACGGGAGACUGUUAGGUGCAUUUGAAAGUCAAAGAAGCGUUUUCCAUUAGAUAUUUUCUGAAGAAACUGCUGCUUGCACUUACCAGUCUCCUACGAGGAGAGCUACAUGAGUGUCUGAUGCAUUUGACUUGGUAAGUUAACUGUACUGCACUCACAGGUUGCACAACAGUAGAAAUUAAAACAAGAAGGAAUGUCAUUGAUAAAUAACUCAUUGCACCUUAACGUUCGGAGAUUUAAUGGUCUCACAGAACUUCUGAUCUGGCUAGUGUAGACAACAAAAGAUUAAGUAAAAUCAAGUUAAAAUUGUCCUGCUCC
Molecule: long non-coding RNA, 5401 nt
Organism: Elaeis guineensis (African oil palm)
Lineage: Eukaryota; Viridiplantae; Streptophyta; Magnoliopsida; Arecales; Arecaceae
Source: RefSeq, a predicted model, not a curated record